This 64-nucleotide ribosomal RNA is filed under the name Oleiphilus sp. HI0009. Its description in RNAcentral is "partial 16S ribosomal RNA". Lineage: Bacteria; Pseudomonadati; Pseudomonadota; Gammaproteobacteria; Oceanospirillales; Oleiphilaceae. The record is from RNAcentral.
AAGAUUAAACUGAAGAGUUUGAUCAUGGCUCAGAUUGAACGCUGGCGGCAGGCUUAACACAUGC